AAGUAGUGUACUAUAUAGGGUAUAGUGUGCACUUUGGGACAUACCCUCUUACUUAUGUCCAACCCUAACCCCUUACACCCUAGGUUGAAACCCUAACCCCUACACCCUAGGUUGAACCCUAAUCCCUACACCCUAGGUUGAACCCUACACUCUAGGUUGAAACCCUAACCCCCUACACUCUAGGUUGAAACCCUAACCCCCUACACUCUAGGUUGAAUCCUAACCCCCUACACUCUAGGUUGAAUCCUAACCCCCUACACUCUAGGUUGAAACCCUAACCCCCUACACUCUAGGUUGAAACCCUAACCCCCUACACUCUAGGUUGAAACCCUAACCCCCUACACUCUAGGUUGAAUCCCCUCUACACCCUAGUUUUGGAGUGGGGACUAGGGAUUGGUUUGGAAUUUGAAAACUGUCUGUCGAUCAUUAAUGUACUGCAACUCUCCCCAACUUCUCCCCUCAGACACCCAGGGCCUGUAUCUGUUUCAGAUCAAAGCUGCCCCAUAGCAGAGCACAGAUCUGGGAUCAGUUUACCCCUAACUUCUCCUCUCUGUCCCAGGGCCUGUAUCUGUUUCAGAUCAAAGCUGCCCCAUAGCAGAGCACAGAUCUGGGAUCAGCUUACCCCUAACUUCUCCUCUCUGUCCCAGGGCCUGUAUCUGUUUCAGAUCAAAGCUGCCCCAUAGCAGAGCACAGAUCUGGGAUCAGUUUACCCCUAACCCUGUGUU
RNAcentral lists this long non-coding RNA (725 nucleotides) under Salmo salar (Atlantic salmon). RNAcentral's name for it is "lncRNA (ENSSSAG00000089602.1, ENSSSAG00000094818.1)". The record is from RNAcentral. Lineage: Eukaryota; Metazoa; Chordata; Actinopteri; Salmoniformes; Salmonidae.